AGUGAACGCUGGCGGUAGGCCUAACACAUGCCAGUCGAACGGCAGCACAGUAAGAGCUUGCUCUUACGGGUGGCGAGUGGCGGACGGGUGAGGAAUACAUCGGAAUCUACUUUUUCGUGGGGGAUAACGUAGGGAAACUUACGCUAAUACCGCAUACGACCUACGGGUGAAAGCAGGGGAUCUUCGGACCUUGCGCGAUUGAAUGAGCCGAUGUCGGAUUAGCUAGUUGGCGGGGUAAAGGCCCACCAAGGCGACGAUCCGUAGCUGGUCUGAGAGGAUGAUCAGCCACACGGGAACUGAGACACGGUCCAGACUCCUACGGGAGGCAGAAGUGGGGAAUAUUGGACAAUGGGCGAAAGCCUGAUCCAGCCAUACCGCGUGGGUGAAGAAGGCCUUCGGGUUGUAAAGCCCUUUUGUUGGGAAAGAAAAGCAGCAGGUUAAUACCCCGCUGUUCUGACGGUACCCAAAGAAUAAGCACCGGCUAACUUCGU
Molecule: ribosomal RNA, 491 nt
Filed under: uncultured bacterium
Lineage: Bacteria
Description: partial 16S ribosomal RNA
Rfam family: Bacterial small subunit ribosomal RNA
Source: RNAcentral